RNAcentral lists this long non-coding RNA (524 nucleotides) under Pan troglodytes (chimpanzee). RNAcentral's name for it is "lincRNA". The record is from RNAcentral. Lineage: Eukaryota; Metazoa; Chordata; Mammalia; Primates; Hominidae.
GGCCCAGUGUGGCGUAAGGUUGGUUUCCAGGGCCAACGUCCCCCCCCCCCCAGGGGCCGACAGGCUCUGAGCAUUUGCUGUGCAGUCUCCGCCUGUCUUGGGAACCAGUAGCCUCAGAGCCCCUGCUCACCCGGCUUCAUACCUGAGCAUGGAACUCACUGGAAAAUGUGGCAAUGCCUAACAAAGCCGUGGCUCUUGAGUGUGACUUGGGCAAGAGCUGCUUCCAGGUUCUCAGAAUGACACCUCCAAGAUGGGCACCAAGCUGGUUCCCCACGGUGCCCACAUCCUGAAGUGUCCCAGAUCACACAGCAGCGGCGGAUUUGAGUCACCCCAGGCCUCUGCAGACAGGCGCAAGAAAUAAGGAAACCUGCUCCUCCCGGAUUUCCUGGGCCGACGCCCGUGUCCCUGUGGGCUCCUGUCCUUCCUCAGAACAUGAGCAUCGAGCCAGGAGCGAAGCCCCGCGCUGUGGCUCAGGUGCAGCUGUGGGGAUCAGUUUCCACCAGUGAGGGGCAUGAAAAGGCCAC